Molecule: ribosomal RNA, 253 nt
Filed under: uncultured bacterium
Lineage: Bacteria
Description: partial 16S ribosomal RNA
Rfam family: Bacterial small subunit ribosomal RNA
Source: RNAcentral
UACAGAGGGUGCGAGCGUUAAUCGGAAUUACUGGGCGUAAAGCGCGCGUAGGCGGCUUUGCAAGUCGGGUGUGAAAUCCCCAGGCUUAACCUGGGAACUGCAUUCGAGACUGCAUUGCUAGAGUAUGGGAGAGGGAAGUGGAAUUUCCGGUGUAGCGGUGAAAUGCGUAGUUAUCGGAAGGAACAUCAGUGGCGAAAGCGGCGCACUGGACCACAACUGACGCUGAGGCGCGAAAGCUAGGGGAGCAAACAGG